Long non-coding RNA from Suricata suricatta (meerkat), 2527 nucleotides. RefSeq lists it as uncharacterized. The record is from RefSeq and is a predicted model, not a curated record. The transcript is spliced from 4 exons. Lineage: Eukaryota; Metazoa; Chordata; Mammalia; Carnivora; Herpestidae.
AAUAUAAACAUUAAAAAAAAUUUUAAUGAAAUAAAAAUUUUUUUAAAAACCCUCACUUCCCCAUAGACCAGCUGCCCUUGGGAGCUGGGCAGGCAGACAUUUCCCUCUUGGCACUAACACGUGUCCCUGCAGUGACCAGCUGUGACAGUGGCCGCCCGAGCACUCCCUUCCCGGGGCUCGGUGGGACCCCGCCGCACCUGCCUUACAGUGGCUUCAUCCUAACCCAGAAGCCAAGGCUUGGGCGGCAGGAGGGGGUCAGGCCGCUGUGGGCAAGUCCGAGAGGCACCCCUGCCUCCGCUCCUCAGCCACUCCCUGAGGCUUGGCCGCCGUCCCAGGCCGGGCGGCGGGGACCGAGCGCCACCCCACUGGCAUGCCUCACCUCUGCCACCCACGCUGUCACCCGACCGUCCUUUCCUUUUUCUCUUCGGGCCCAUUCAUUCAUUCAUUCCAUGACUGGGAUCUUGACGUUAAGAGCUUGGCGUGCAGCCCCUCCUGGGUGCCAGGCGCAGAGGAGGGCACACAGUGACCAGGGCAAAUACGGAGUUGCUCCCUAGUUAUUCAGCGACAGCAUCUGAGCUCCGAAGGACCAGCACGGCAGCUGUGAGCACCUGACCUAGGAGCUCUGACCUAGGCUGGGGUCUGGGGAAGACUCCCCGGAGGCAGUGGCCUUUGAACAGAGAACCGGCAGACGAGGAGGGGCCGCAGCCUUCUGGAUACUGGCGGCACCUAGUGUGAAUGCAGAACAGGCCACAUUCCAGGCACUGAAAGAGGCCAGAGGGACUGAGGGAAGAGACAGCGGAGGGGAGAAUGAUUCCAGAUGGGGUCGGCAGGGCCGCUUGCACGGGCCUCUAGCCUCUCAUCCGACCACUGUUUACCCACAGGUCUGAGUGCUGCCAAAGCGCCGUGACCUGGCGUGCCACCCCUCCCCCUGCAGGGGCAGCCCUCACCGCACGCCCUGGGCCCUGGGCGUUGUCACAAGGCAGGAACUGCCGCCAUCCCUCUGGUUGAUCUCUCAACUCUCUCCCAGGAAUCCGCAGCCUCGGGCAGGCAUGAUGAGGGCUCGGAACCCCAGGCUCUCCCUUCUCGGAUUCUGAUUCGCCAGGUCCCAGGAAUAACCCGCUGCUCUGGAUUGGGGGCCCGGACACACAACUUGAGAAACGGUGUCUUUGACCGUGAGAUCAUGACCUGAGCUGAAGUCAGAUGCUUAACCCACUGAGCCCCCCAGGAGCCCCAGGACAACUUCUUAAAAGCGGACUUGCUGGGUCAAAGAAGGUGAGCAUCUUCUGGAUCCUGUCAAUCAAGCAGGCUCUGCUCCAAAAGUCUCUCAGGACAUUCAGAACAGAACAGAAGGUCGCUCUCUCAUCUCCACGAAGACAGCCCUCCAGAAGCCUCCCCGAUCGGCUCCGUGCGGAACGGGGCGUUCUUCACCCCUGCCACCCUGGACCUCCCCUCCCCUGGCGUUCGCGUUCCCGCCACGGUAGUCCUGAAGGCCCUCCCCGGGUCCUGGAUUCCGUACCUGCCUCUUCUGCAUCUGCUUCUAAAAACCUCCUGAGAGAGGGAACUUGGUAGAAAACUGUGAGACCUUCGUACGUAUCCAAACAUCUUUACUCCAUCUGCAUUUCAGCUGCUGCGAGGGUCCACGUCUCCCCUACCAGCUCUUCUCCCGUGGUUCCAGGAGAGUAGCUGGCGGCCGAGGGGAGGACUGGAGCUCCUGGGACCCAGGAGCUGGCGGAGGCCCUGUGACCGUCCUCUUCAGCAGAAUGGGGGUAGAAAUGGUCUGGGCUUGAGCCCCACAUCAGCUCUGUGCCGACAGCUCAGAGCUUGGCUUCGGAUUCUGUGUCUCCCUCUCUCUCUGCCCCUCGCCUGCUCACGAAAACAACAACAACAACAAAAUCUGUGGUUUGGCCUGAGAUCUGCAUUCCUAACAUCUGCUGCCGGCCCGCAGACCCCCCCUGUGGGGUAUGAGACCCUAAGGGACGGCAGAGCUGCACGGUUAGCCCUGAUCUUCGGAUGAUCCGUGAACCGUGUGGAACUACCCGCACUGAAUUGUUCUCUGGGGAAAAACUAAGUCCUGUUUUGCGGUGUCCUUGCGUUUUCACCCUCCAACCCAGCACAGCUGGAGGGCAGAAUCCCAGAUCGGUACAGGCGUCAAGAUGGAUCCUCCCCCCCCCCCAAAAGGUAAACCUGGUCAUAACGGACUUAAGGAUCCUUAAAGGGCUCUCAAGUGCUUCGAGAACAAAGUCCAGAUUACUCAGCUCGCAAGCCUUCGUCUCCUGAUCCGGCUCCCCCGUCAGUCUGCCGCUGCCACGCUCCAGUCACGGGCCGAACGGAAUGCCUUGCUGUAGGUGGGCUAAGCCGGGCAGGCUCCUUCUCUGCACCACGCAUCUGCCCCGCUGAUCCCUUUUUCCAUCCCACCUCCCACCCACCUAGUUAAUUAACCCUUAAGAGCCGGUUCAAGCAAGGCUGCAUCCCAGAACCCUCGCUCUAUGCUCCCGAAGGUGCUCCCUGGGCGUGCCUCUCCCCAAAC